UCAUAACAUUAACACACAAAAAGACUCACACAGGUGCUGAUAUGAAAGACAAUGAGUUACAGGUUGAGGAUCAUGUGAAUUAUUCUGCUCUACAGUUUAAUAAGAAAACAGGGAGAGCACAGAGACAUGCAGAAAC
This is a long non-coding RNA of Trichomycterus rosablanca, 136 nucleotides long. RefSeq lists it as uncharacterized. The record is from RefSeq and is a predicted model, not a curated record. Lineage: Eukaryota; Metazoa; Chordata; Actinopteri; Siluriformes; Trichomycteridae. The transcript is spliced from 3 exons.